AUGUCCCUCCUCCACGUCCGGCUCGCCGCCGCGGCGAUCGCCGUCGUCGCGCUCGUGGCCGGCGGGGACGCCUACCAGCUCACCAAACCAGGCACCGUCAUCUCGUACGACCGCCGCUCGCUCAUGGUGGACGGACAGAGGGACAUCUUCUUCUCCGGCUCCAUCCACUAUCCACGCAGCCCUUUCCACGAGUGGCCCGACCUCAUCGCCAGGGCCAAGGAAGGCGGCCUCAACGUCAUCGAGUCCUACGUCUUCUGGAACGUCCAUGAACCCGAGAUGGGCGUGUACAACUUCGAGGGGAGGUACGACAUGAUCAAGUUCUUCAAGCUGAUCCAGGAGCAUGAGAUGUACGCCAUGGUCCGUAUCGGGCCCUUUGUCCAGGCGGAGUGGAACCAUGGAGGGCUGCCUUACUGGCUCCGGGAGGUCCCCGACAUCAUAUUCCGCACAGACAAUGAGCCUUUCAAGAAGCUCAUGCAGAAGUUUGUCACUCUCGUAGUGAACAAGCUCAAGGAGGCCAAGCUCUUCGCAUCACAAGGAGGCCCUAUCAUUCUAGCGCAGAUCGAGAAUGAGUACCAGCACAUGGAAGCGGCGUUCAAAGAAAACGGCACCAGGUACAUCGAAUGGGCAGCUAAGAUGGCCAUCAGCACCGACAUCGGGGUGCCAUGGAUCAUGUGCAAGCAGACUAAAGCUCCAGCGGACGUGAUUCCUACCUGCAACGGUAGGCACUGCGGAGAUACAUGGCCAGGUCCAGUUGACAAGAACAAACCCCUGUUAUGGACCGAGAACUGGACUGCUCAAUACAGAGUAUUCGGUGAUCCUCCGUCUCAGAGAUCUGCCGAGGACAUUGCGUUUGCCGUGGCGCGGUUCUUCUCGGUGGGGGGCAGCAUGGUGAACUACUACAUGUACCACGGAGGAACAAACUUUGGAAGAACGGGUGCCUCUUUCGUGAUGCCGAGAUACUACGACGAGGCGCCUCUCGACGAAUUCGGUAAAGCAGAGACAGAUGAAUCCUCUCAAACUCUGAAUAUGCUUAACUAUGUUGAUUCAUGGAUGAACGUUUUGGUUGGUCCAGGAAUGUUCAAAGAGCCCAAGUGGGGCCAUCUGAAGGACCUGCACCAUGCUUUGAGGUUGUGCAAGAACGCUCUCCUCUUUGGGACCCCCUCCACGCAGCCAUUGGGCAAGCUCUACGAGGCGCGGGUGUUCGAGAUCCCGGAGCAGAAGGUGUGCGUGGCGUUCCUGUCCAACCACAACACCAAGGAGGACGGGACGGUGACGUUCCGCGGGCAGAAGUACUUCGUGCCCCGGCGGUCUGUCAGCAUCCUGGGCGACUGCAAGACGGUGGUGUUCAGCACGCAAUACGUGAACGCGCAGCACAACCAGCGCACCUUCCACUUCACGGACCAGACGGUGCCCACCUACAAGUUCAGCACCGACCGGAGCGAGAAGCCCCUCGAGGCCUACAACAUGACCAAGGACAAGACCGACUACCUCUGGUACACAACCAGCUUCCUGCUGGACCCUGAGGACCUGCCGUCCAGGCUAGACAUCAAGCCGGUGCUGGAGGCGAGCAGCCAUGGGCACGCCAUGGUGGCGUUCGUCAACAAGAAGUUAGUCGGCUGCGGCCAUGGCACAAAGAUGAACAAGGCCUUCAGCCUGGAGAAGCCCAUCGAUGUCAAGGUCGGCAUCAACCACAUCUCCAUCCUGUCCAGCACGCUGGGGUUGCAGGACAGCGGGUCCUACCUGGAGCGCCGGCAGGCCGGCGUGCACUCGGUCACCAUCCAGGGCCUCAACACGGGGACGCUGGACCUCACCAGCAACGGGUGGGGUCACAUCGUGGGCCUGGACGGCGAGCGCAAGCAGGCUUUCACGGAAAAGGGCGGCGAGGUGCAGUGGCAACCCGCGGUGUUCGACAAGCCGCUCACGUGGUACCGGCGGCGCUUCGACAUGCCCAGCGGGGAGGACCCCGUGGUGAUCGACAUGAACCCGAUGGGCAAGGGCAUCCUGUUCGUCAACGGCGAAGGGCUGGGGCGAUACUGGAGCUCGUACAAGCACGCGCUGGGGCGGCCGUCGCAGUACCUGUACCACGUGCCGCGGUGCUUCCUGAAGCCGACGGGGAACGUGCUGACCAUCUUCGAGGAGGAAGGCGGGCGGCCGGACGCCAUCAUGAUCCUGACGGUGAAGCGCGACAACAUCUGCAGCUUCAUCUCGGAGACCAACCCCGGGCACGUACGGUCGUGGGAGACCAAGGACAGCCAGCUGACGAUGGUGGCGGACGACCUGAAGCCGCGGGCGGUGCUGACGUGCCCGGAGAAGAAGAUGAUCCAGCAGGUGGUGUUCGCCAGCUACGGGAACCCGCUGGGGAUCUGCGGCAACUACACGUUUGGCAACUGCCACACGCCCAAGGCCAAGGAGAUUGUGGAGAAGGCGUGCGUGGGGAAGAGGAGCUGCGUGCUGGCCGUGUCGCACGAGGUGUACGGCGGGGACCUCAACUGCCCGGGCACCACGGCCACGCUGGCCGUGCAGGCAAAGUGCUCCAAGAGGCAGAGGACCGCCGAGCAAUAA
This 2562-nucleotide ribosomal RNA is filed under the name Triticum aestivum (bread wheat). RNAcentral describes it as "partial small subunit ribosomal RNA". Lineage: Eukaryota; Viridiplantae; Streptophyta; Magnoliopsida; Poales; Poaceae. The record is from RNAcentral.